Daphnia pulex (common water flea) is the source of this 796-nucleotide long non-coding RNA. RefSeq lists it as uncharacterized. The transcript has 4 exons. Lineage: Eukaryota; Metazoa; Arthropoda; Branchiopoda; Diplostraca; Daphniidae. The record is from RefSeq and is a predicted model, not a curated record.
UUAAAAUUUCAGGUAGUUCUGUCAAAUAGUGUACAAGCUAUAAAUUUUGAAACAAUGGCUGCUCCGUCAACGCCAACGUGUGUUACCGAUCUAACUACGCUUUCUACCUCUAUGCAGUCGGAACUGACCCAGCAAAACAGAAAUAUGCCUAACACACUCACUGUGACAUCCGUCGUACGAUUUUACAGUGUCAGUGCUGAUGUGACUGAUGCUCAUUUAGCUGACUUUUGUUCUCAAUGUGGUCCAGUCUAUCACAUUGAGAGACUAACGUCUAAAGAAGGAAAAAAGACUGUAUUCGUCGAGCUCACUGUGAAACGUGCCGUUGCGGAGUCAUUCGUGAAGAGAUUUGAAAAAGGCUGCCGAAUCAACCACAUAAAUUGCGUUAUACAAAUGUCAAGUUGUAAUACCAUAUUCAGGAAAACUGAGAAGGCUAAGGAAAAACAUUUUAAUUACAUGUUAUGUAAUUAAUUAAAAUUAUUUGUAUAUUUAUAGGCCGAUAUGGUUGCUUACAAAGCGUCCAAGAAGAGUGUCUCAGGGCACUGUGGAGAAGAAAAUGACUCUCUAAGAGUCAAUUUCUGUCUGGUGGAACACUGUGAACACAGACAUUUUUACCUUCAAACACGAAAGAGAUUUGUUUGUGGCUGAAUUGGACAGGAAAAUUAUUGCUUUAAAUAUGUUAGCUUAUCCAAUGUUUCCUCCGACAUUUGAGAAACAUGAGCAUGCUUUGUUACUAUUGAAUCUACUAUUUGAGAAGAUGUCCUUAAACGCAGUACCAAACUCAACUGUCGAAAAUGAA